CCAAUGCCGUGCUCGCCCGUGGGACGUGCCAGGGCAAGAAAAGGGAAGCACGACUCCCCGUUGGGUGGAAUUCCAUCCCCUGGAAUGUCACCUUCGCCCUGUUUUCCUUUUCCGUAGAUGAGCUCACACAGUGGGUGCGACUCGGACAGGGAAGUGCACUUUCCUGCGUAGUUUGGAGUUGAAAGAAGCGAUGUUUGCUGGCUUGGUCCGAAGUUAGUCAGAUGCCUGCAGUGGUUCUCGCUGUGCUGGUGUGAAUGUCCGUGGACUUGAGCGCUCUGAAGCUGCCCCUUGAGCGGAGGAGUGUAUAGCUCCUGUGAUACACGACGUGGAGACUGUGAAGCGACUAACGCGUCGGGGAUCCGAUGAUCAGACGACGUGACAGCGGGAAUGGAGAGGAACCCAUGCGAAGACGUUGACACAGAAAGACAGCCGGGAUACGAGGAGAUACCACACAAUGAGCCUGUCGGAACGGAUGAGAUACAACCUUCUGCAGAAGGAAAGAUAUGUGAAGGAGUGUUUCGUUUCACCCCGAAAUCUAACUGGUUCACGUCUGCGGGAGUGAUGUCGAAUGCCCCGUACGGUAACGUCGCUGUUCGAGAGGCGGGGAAGUGGGGAUUUUCUUUAUCAGUAUCAGCGCAUGUGCUCCUCGCGGUGUCUAUGAAAGCCAAGGAUGUGCCGCACUUGACUGCUCGCCCGCAACCAGGGAGCGCCUGCUUCUCUAUUUUGGUUUCCAACAUCGUUCCAUUUGUAACCUCUGCGCCUCCCCCUCCUGUGUUGUGCCGGAACCCGCAGAGCCCAUGCUCUUUUGCGACACUUCCGUCGAUCUCCGUCCCAGUAAACGUAAAAGCGGAAGAGUAAGGCGGGAACACAUUUUUCGUAGGCUCGCCGUCAGCACCAACAGCUCUUUUGUUGGCGGUAUGCCUAAGAAGCUGCACCGUUUGGCUCUGGACUGGCAGCGCGCCUAAACCCCCAACCAUUGAUGGCGAGGCGAGAGUCUCCGACUCCUCAUGGGGAUCUCUGGAGCGCGGACUACCGUUUCUGUGCUUCCGCGGUGGCUCCACAAGGAAAGGAGAUAAUAGACACACCGCCUCUCCAUCCGGUCCGUGUUUCAAAGAAUAAACGCGUAAGCGUUCUGCUUGCUCUUGAAAGGUACUGUGGGCCGCAGACUCGGUUUGAUACAGAACAUCAGCUCGCCCAUGAAAGGAGCCAAAACCUCGCCCACCCCCUUGGGGAGGAGCUUCUGCUCGUGAUAGGGACUGAUUCUGUAGCUUCCGAGCUGCGGAUUUGCUUUUGGUGGAACCGAAAUCUGUAGGUAGGGAGCGUGUGGGCGGAGGCAGCGGAUCUAAGGAGCGGGCGAACCCGAAGUCAACCAGUUUAACAUGGCCGAUGUGGUCAAGGAGAAUGUUCUCUGGCUUCAAAUCGCGGUACACGAUCAUGCUGGCUGCAGUGGCAUGUACAGACAUCACCUGCAUCUUGACAAAUCGGGG
RNAcentral lists this long non-coding RNA (1487 nucleotides) under Toxoplasma gondii VEG. The record is from RNAcentral. Lineage: Eukaryota; Apicomplexa; Conoidasida; Eucoccidiorida; Sarcocystidae.